This is a small nuclear RNA of Microtus oregoni (creeping vole), 107 nucleotides long. NCBI's taxonomy places the organism in Eukaryota, Metazoa, Chordata, Mammalia, Rodentia, Cricetidae. The record is from RefSeq and is a predicted model, not a curated record.
GUGCUUGCUUCGGCAGCACAUAUACUAAAAUUGGAAUGAUACAAAGAAGAUUAGCAUGGCCUCUGUAGAAGGAUGACAUGCAAAUUCGUGAAGCAGUCUAGGAGAGA